Molecule: ribosomal RNA, 492 nt
Filed under: uncultured bacterium
Lineage: Bacteria
Description: partial 16S ribosomal RNA
Rfam family: Bacterial small subunit ribosomal RNA
Source: RNAcentral
AUUUCCCUCUUUCUUUCUGCCUAACACAUGCAAGUCGAACGGCAGCACAGUAAGAGCUUGCUCUUACGGGUGGCGAGUGGCGGACGGGUGAGGAAUACAUCGGAAUCUACUUUUUCGUGGGGGAUAACGUAGGGAAACUUACGCUAAUACCGCAUACGACCUACGGGUGAAAGCAGGGGAUCUUCGGACCUUGCGCGAUUGAAUGAGCCGAUGUCGGAUUAGCUAGUUGGCGGGGUAAAGGCCCACCAAGGCGACGAUCCGUAGCUGGUCUGAGAGGAUGAUCAGCCACACUGGAACUGAGACACGGUCCAGACUCCUACGGGAGGCAGCAGUGGGGAAUAUUGGACAAUGGGCGCAAGCCUGAUCCAGCCAUACCGCGUGGGUGAAGAAGGCCUUCGGGUUGUAAAGCCCUUUUGUUGGGAAAGAAAAGCAGCAGGUUAAUACCCCGCUGUUCUGACGGUACCCAAAGAAUAAGCACCGGCUAACUUCGUG